AAAUAGAUACCCAGGUAGUCCAUGCCGUAAAACGUUGGGCACUAGGUGUGGGGCUCAUUCCACGAGUUCCGUGCCGCAGCAAACGCAUUAAGUGCCCCGCCUGGGGAGUACGGCCGCAAGGCUAAAACUCAAAGAAAUUGACGGGGGCCCGCACAAGCGGCGGAGCAUGCGGAUUAAUUCGAUGCAACGCGAAGAACCUUACCAAGGCUUGACAUACACCGGAAAAGUGCAGAGAUGUGCUCCCCGUAAGGUCGGUGUACAGGUGGUGCAUGGUUGUCGUCAGCUCGUGUCGUGAGAUGUUGGGUUAAGUCCCGCAACGAGCGCAACCCUGUCCCAUGUUGCCAGCGGGGUUAUGCCGGGGGACUCAUGGGGAGACUGCCGGGGGUCAACUCGGAGGAAGGUGGGGAUGACGUCAAAUCAUCAUGCCCCUUAUGCCUUGGGCUUCACGCAUGCUACAAUGGCCGGUACAAAGGGCUGCGAUACCGCAAGGUGGAGCGAAUCCCAAAAAGCCGGUCUCAGUUCGGAUUGGGGUCUGCAACUCCCG
This 544-nucleotide ribosomal RNA is filed under the name uncultured bacterium. RNAcentral's name for it is "bacterial SSU rRNA". It matches the Rfam family "Bacterial small subunit ribosomal RNA", at positions 776 to 1314 of the family's 1533-position model. The record is from RNAcentral.